ACUCAUAAUCUUUUUUGCGACUUUUGAUUUGAAAUCAAAAUGAUUGUUUUUAUUAACAAUAUGAGUU
This 67-nucleotide transfer RNA is filed under the name Rhinebothroides sp. MZUSP 8013. RNAcentral describes it as "tRNA-Ser". The record is from RNAcentral. Lineage: Eukaryota; Metazoa; Platyhelminthes; Cestoda; Rhinebothriidea; Rhinebothriidae. RNAcentral also lists the same sequence under 3 other names.